Molecule: ribosomal RNA, 906 nt
Filed under: Iotonchus lotilabiatus
Lineage: Eukaryota; Metazoa; Nematoda; Enoplea; Mononchida; Iotonchidae
Description: SSU rRNA
Rfam family: Eukaryotic small subunit ribosomal RNA
Source: RNAcentral
CCGCUUUAAUCAUAGUUAUCUACUUGGGAUAACUGUGGCAAUUCUAGCAGCUAAUACAUGCACGAAAGCUCGGACCUUAGGGAAAGAGCGCAUUUAUUAGACCAAAACCAAUCGAGCUUCGGCUUGUGUUUUGGUGACUCUGAAUAACUAAGUUGAUCGCACAGUCUUAGUACUGGCGACGUAUUUUUCAAAUGUCUGCCUUAUCAACUUUCGAUGGUAGGUUAUACGCCUACCAUGGUUAUAACGGGUAACGGAGAAUAAGGGUUCGACUCCGGAGAGGGAGCCUGAGAAAUGGCUACCACAUCCAAGGAAGGCAGCAGGCGCGCAAAUUACCCAAUCCCAGAAUGGGGAGGUAGUGACGAAAAAUAACGAGACAGUCCACUAUGUGGCCUGUCAUCGGAAUGGGUACGAUUUAAAAACUCUAACGAGGAUCUAUUAGAGGGCAAGUCUGGUGCCAGCAGCCGCGGUAAUUCCAGCUCUAAUAGCGUAUAUUAAAGUUGUUGUGGUUAAAACGCCCGUAGUUGGAUCUUCGGUCUUGAAGCUCGGUAGCUCGUAAGGGUUUAACUGAGUCUUCUGGCCUAAAUUUUAGUAUUCCGCUGAUGCUCUUUACUGAGUGUCUUUGGUUGCUAGAACGUUUACUUUGAAAAAAUUAGAGUGCUAAAAGCAGGCUUUAUGCUUGAAUAAAGUGCAUGGAAUAAUGGAAUAGGACUUUAGUUUUAUUUUGUUGGUUUUCGAAAUUAAAGUAAUGAUUAAGAGGAACAGACGGGGGCAUUCGUAUUGUUGCGUUAGAGGUGAAAUUCUUGGAUCGCAGCAAGACGAACAACUGCGAAAGCAUUUGCCAAGAAUGUUUUCAUUAAUCAAGGACGAUAGUUAGAGGUUCGAAGGCGAUCAAAUACCGCCCAAAAA